UACGGAGGGGGCUAGCGUUGUUCGGAAUCACUGGGCGUAAAGGGCGUGUAGGCGGUCAAGUAGGUGAGAUGUGAAAUGCUCCGGCUUACCCGGAGACCGGCAUCUCAAACCGCUUGGCUUGAGAACGGGAGAGGGUGUGGGAAUUCCUGGUGUAGCGGUGAAAUGCGUAGAUAUCAGGAGGAACACCGGUGGCGAAGGCGCACACCUGGCCCGAUACUGACGCUGAGGCGCGAAAGCUAGGGGAGCAAACGGG
Molecule: ribosomal RNA, 253 nt
Filed under: uncultured bacterium
Lineage: Bacteria
Description: partial 16S ribosomal RNA
Rfam family: Bacterial small subunit ribosomal RNA
Source: RNAcentral